RNAcentral lists this unclassified non-coding RNA (265 nucleotides) under Hevea brasiliensis (rubber tree). Lineage: Eukaryota; Viridiplantae; Streptophyta; Magnoliopsida; Malpighiales; Euphorbiaceae. The record is from RNAcentral.
GCUUGGAAAUGAAUUGAGUGGGAAAGGAGUUGGAGCAAGAAUAGCAGCAAACCAAUAUGCUGCUGACACGAUUUCCCUGUAUAAGAUAGUGCAACAUAUUUACAAUGAAACUGAAACUAAGCCUCUAAUUAUAGCACCUGGAGGAUUGUUUGAUGCAAAUUGGUUCAAAGAAUUCAUAGAUAAAACAGGAAAUUCAGUAGAUGUGAUCACCCAUCAUAUAUACAAUCUCGGUCCAGGAUCUGAUGAACAUCUUGUUGAAAAGAUU